Long non-coding RNA from Cyprinus carpio carpio, 1601 nucleotides. The record is from Ensembl. Lineage: Eukaryota; Metazoa; Chordata; Actinopteri; Cypriniformes; Cyprinidae.
GCAUGGUUUAUUUGUGAAGUGUCCUGAGACAGGUGAGGGAGCGAGUGGACAGGGAGGACAUCAAACUCAAACAAAUACAUUCUGCAUUAGCCAAGAGAAAACAGUGGGGAAAAAAUGAGUACAUUACAGUUUUUCCAAUAUAUUUUUUAAAUGUUAUAUUGUCAAUGAAACAACCUAAUUUCUGUAGUUUAUUUUUUUGACGCAAGUUAAAAAUGAAAUGCAUAAAUUGUAUACAUUAUUAAUUUUUAGUGUGUCAUUUAUUCGUAUAUAAGCCUGAGUACUUUCUGUACAUUUUGUAUUUUUGUUUUGCAUAUUCACAUGUGUAAAUAAAAGAAAAGUGCUUAUGUACAUUGUUAAUUUUUUUUUAAUGUAGCUUAUAAUUUUUUUUCACAAAACAUUAUUUUAUAUGUUUAUUUGUUUGUCCUGUAAAUACUUUUUUACACAUUAAAACAAAUUGUUCUAUACAUAACAGAAAGUACUUUUUACAACCAUUUACAACAUAGCUUAGGUUUAACAUCAGAAAACAACAUCAGUUUGAGCCCGGCCCAGCCUCCAUGAGUUCUGGGGUCUUCGGGAGGUCAAUCUCUUGGUGAAUGGCCAGCACCUCCUCAGAGACUCAGAGGACAGUGCGGUGGACAGUGGAACGAGGGACAUGUCAAACACUCUGGAGACCAUCUGUAUGAUGUACCGCUGGCAGACAGAAGAGAAACACCAGGGUCUGGAUCUUGGCACACCAUCACUGUUGCCGUUCACUUCGCAGCAGAUCCAGCAGCACAGUCAGGGCCUCCCUGCUCAGAACAAAACCAUUAAACACCUGUCCAGCACUGCCACAUUCAGCUCUAUCCUGCAGUACAGGGGUCUGGCCUCAGUCUUGGCUAAGCCUGAGGUUCAUCACCGUCUCCUCCAUUAUGAGUAAAUCAUAAAAACAAAAACGAGCAGUUCUGGCUCCACCUGUCCUGGCAGGACUGUCCUCUCGUCAGCGCUCUUCUCGCACCGUUGCUAUGCGACAGAGCGCUAAUCGGAAACACCUGGUGACGGGAUUAGGAAAUCCUGUGAAGGCGGAGCAUCUCACGCACUUCGGAGCACCCUUCGUGCACUUCGGAGGUCUGGUCUUCGAAGUCCGUGGCCUUCGAAGUGUGCACACUCAACUUUGGGACACAGCUCUUGUUUCUUUUUCUUCUUCACUUGUGUUUUUUUGGAAAUUCUGUACAGAAGAUGUGUACUAGCGCCCACUACCGUAUAACAAUGAAAACACGGAUUCUAGGAGCACAAGUAUAGCUCAAACAUAUUUAGACUUUUUGUAAGUAUAAGUCAAGUAUACUUAAAUGUCAUUUUAAGUUUAUUUCUGAGGAGUAAAUAAAGCCCAUUUCUGAGAAGUACAUAAAAAGUAAACUAAAAGCAUACUUUCCUAUUUUUAGUUUAAAAGAAGUAUACUAAUAGCACACCUGAAUAAAUUUCUUUUUCGUAAGGGUUCUACAGAUUCACUCUUCAUUUGUGCAAUUAUAUUAAAAUACCUUUACCUGCUAAAAAAAGUAUAAACUCUCAAUCAGAUGACGGAAGGCAUGUAGAAUGUGUGCAGUGGGUUUUUCAGCAAAGUUUUG